This 238-nucleotide long non-coding RNA is filed under the name Capsicum annuum. RNAcentral's name for it is "long non-coding RNA (CANN_LNC002516)". Lineage: Eukaryota; Viridiplantae; Streptophyta; Magnoliopsida; Solanales; Solanaceae. The record is from RNAcentral.
CAAUCGUCAACCGAGUGAUCUUUAACUUGCGAUGAUGAUUUUAUGUCUUCAAAUCACUAGUUAAGUUCAAACGAAGUAGAAAUCUUACAACUUUAAUCUCCAGAACACAAGCAAUACAGAUUCCGAAAGGAUUAUUCCUUAAGAUUGUUAUUUUCAAUGUUUUCGGGUACAGGAACUGUAUAUAGGCAGCAACAACUUCAACACAAGUUCAAGUCUAAGACAAGAACACUUAUGAAGU